GGUUGGGCUGUUCGCCCAUUAAAGCGGUACGCGAGCUGGGUUUAGAACGUCGUGAGACAGUUCGGUCCCUAUCCUCUGUAGCCGUAGGAGAUUUGAGAAAAGCUGUCCCUAGUACGAGAGGACCGGGAUGGACGCAGCUCUCGUGUGCCAGUUGUUCCGCCAGGAGCAUGGCUGGUUGGCGACCUGCGGAAAGGAUAAGCGCUGAAAGCAUCUAAGCGCGAAACCUGUUUCGAGAUGAGAUCUCCCACUGGAUAACCAGGUAAGGCCCGUGGCAGAACACCACGUUGAUAGGCCGGAUGUGUAAGCGCGGUGACGCGUUCAGCAGACCGGUACUAAUCGGCCGAGGGCUUGGGCUC
Molecule: ribosomal RNA, 356 nt
Filed under: Acidimicrobiia bacterium
Lineage: Bacteria; Bacillati; Actinomycetota; Acidimicrobiia
Description: partial 23S ribosomal RNA
Rfam family: Bacterial large subunit ribosomal RNA
Source: RNAcentral